RNAcentral lists this ribosomal RNA (394 nucleotides) under uncultured bacterium. RNAcentral's name for it is "bacterial SSU rRNA". It matches the Rfam family "Bacterial small subunit ribosomal RNA", at positions 29 to 420 of the family's 1533-position model. The record is from RNAcentral.
AUUGAACGCUGGCGGAAUGCUUUACACAUGCAAGUCGAGCGGCAGCACGGGGGCAACCCUGGUGGCGAGCGGCGAACGGGUGAGUAACACAUCGGAACGUACCCUGUCGUGGGGGGAUAACGAAUCGAAAGAUUCGCUAAUACCGCAUACGACCCGAGGGUGAAAGCGGGGGAUCGCAAGACCUCGCGCGACAGGAGCGGCCGAUGGCGGAUUAGCUAGUUGGUGGGGUAAAGGCCCACCAAGGCGACGAUCCGUAGCGGGUCUGAGAGGACGGCCCGCCACACUGGGACUGAGACACGGCCCAGACUCCUACGGGAGGCAGCAGUGGGGAAUUUUUGGGACAAUGGGGGGCAACCCUGAUCCAGCCAUUCCGCGUGAGUGAAGAAGGCCUCGG